UUGAUCCUGGCUCAGAAUCAACGCUGGCGGCGCGCUUAACACAUGCAAGUCGAACGGGAAAGUGGAGCAAUCCAUGAGUACAGUGGCGUACGGGUGAGUUACACGUGGGUAAUCUACCUCUUAGUGGGGAAUAACCCUGGGAAACCGGGUCUAAUACCGCAUAAGCCUGAGAAGGGAAAGCAGCAAUGCGCUGAGAGAGUAGCCCGCGGCCGAUUAGCUAGUUGGUAGGGUAAAGGCCUACCAAGGCAGUGAUCGGUAGCCGGCCUGAGAGGGCACACGGCCACACUGGCACUGAAACAUGGGCCAGACUCCUACGGGAGGCAGCAGUGGGGAAUCUUGCACAAUGGGGUCAACCCUGAUGCAGCGACGCCGCGUGAGCGAUGAAGCCCUUCGGGGUGUUAAGCUCUUUCGUCAGGGAAGAUGAUGACGGUACCUGGAGAAGCAGCUGCUGCUAACUACGUGCCAGCAGCCGCGGUAAUU
This 480-nucleotide ribosomal RNA is filed under the name uncultured Acidobacteriota bacterium. RNAcentral describes it as "bacterial SSU rRNA". It matches the Rfam family "Bacterial small subunit ribosomal RNA", at positions 13 to 525 of the family's 1533-position model. Lineage: Bacteria; Pseudomonadati; Acidobacteriota. The record is from RNAcentral.